Molecule: ribosomal RNA, 243 nt
Filed under: uncultured bacterium
Lineage: Bacteria
Description: partial 16S ribosomal RNA
Rfam family: Bacterial small subunit ribosomal RNA
Source: RNAcentral
GAUCCUGGCUCAGGAUGAACGCUAGCUACAGGCUUAACACAUGCAAGUCGAGGGGCAGCAUCAUCAAAGCUUGCUUUGAUGGAUGGCGACCGGCGCACGGGUGAGUAACACGUAUCCAACCUGCCGACAACACUGGGAUAGCCUUUCGAAGAAAGAUUAAUACCGGAUGGUAUAGUUUUCCCGUCAUGGGGUGGACUAUUAAAGAAUUUCGGUUGUCGAUGGGGAGUGCGUUCCAUUAGGCAG